This 440-nucleotide ribosomal RNA is filed under the name uncultured bacterium. Its description in RNAcentral is "partial 16S ribosomal RNA". It matches the Rfam family "Bacterial small subunit ribosomal RNA", at positions 338 to 795 of the family's 1533-position model. The record is from RNAcentral.
CCUACGGGAGGCAGCAGUGGGGGAUAUUGCACAAUGGGGGAAACCCUGAUGCAGCGACGCCGCGUGGGUGAAGAAGCGCCUCGGCGCGUAAAGCCCUGUCAGCAGGGAAGAAAAUGACGGUACCUGAAGAAGAAGCCCCGGCUAACUACGUGCCAGCAGCCGCGGUAAUACGUAGGGGGCAAGCGUUAUCCGGAUUUACUGGGUGUAAAGGGGGCGCAGACGGCGAUGCAAGCCAGGAGUGAAAGCCCGGGGCCCAACCCGGGGACUGCUCUUGGAACUGCGUGGCUAGAGUGCAGGAGGGGCAGGCGGAAUUCCUGGUGUAGCAGUGAAAUGCGUAGAUAUCAGGAGGAACACCGAUGGCGAAGGCGGCCUGCUGGACUGCAACUGACGUUGAGGCCCGAAAGCGUGGGGAGCAAACAGGAUUAGAUACCCUUGUAGUC